GUCCUAUUGUAAUAAUUUAUUUUAGGUCUGGCCUGCUCAAUGAUUUAUUUUAGAUUUAAUAGCCGCAGUAUUUUGACUGUGCGAAGGUAGCAUAAUCAUUUGUCUUUUAAUUGAAGGCUUGUAUGAAGGGCUUGAUGAGAUAUCCGCUUUCUUUAUAUUAUAUUUUAUUUAAUUUAAUUUUUAAGUUAAAAAGCUUAAAUUUAUUUAUAGGACGAGAAGACCCUAUAGAAUUUUAUUUAUAUUUUAUUUAUUUAUUGAUUUGGUUAUUAUUCAUAUGAUAAAUAAUUUUGAAUUUUGUUGGGGCGACAGGGAAAUUUUAUUAACUUUCUUUAUUUAUAUUUUAUUUAUUUAUAUGUUAAUGAUCCUUUAUUAGGAUAAUAAGAUUAAAUUACCUUAGGGAUAACAGCGUAAUUUCUUUGGAGAGUUCUUAUCGAUAAAGUAGUUUGCGACCUCGAUGUUGGAUUAAAAUUAGUUUUAAGUGCAGCAGCUUAAUUACUAGGUCUGUUCGACCUUUAAUAUUUUACA
Molecule: ribosomal RNA, 525 nt
Filed under: Allocoris sp. WCW-2003
Lineage: Eukaryota; Metazoa; Arthropoda; Insecta; Hemiptera; Thyreocoridae
Description: partial 16S ribosomal RNA
Rfam family: Bacterial large subunit ribosomal RNA
Source: RNAcentral